Molecule: non-coding RNA, 178 nt
Filed under: Fervidicola ferrireducens
Lineage: Bacteria; Bacillati; Bacillota; Clostridia; Thermosediminibacterales; Thermosediminibacteraceae
Source: RNAcentral
GAAAAUGUGCGCCUUCAAGGUGCCCCUUUAAGGGGAGAAUAGGGAAGUCCGGUGAAAGUCCGGCGCGGACCCGCCACUGUAACGGGAAGCCGCCUUAAAAAAGGCCACUGGGAAACCGGGAAGGCAUAAGGCGGCGAUGAACCGGAGCCAGGAGACCUGCCUUGCAAGGUAGCAGUCC